Molecule: ribosomal RNA, 546 nt
Filed under: Triticum aestivum (bread wheat)
Lineage: Eukaryota; Viridiplantae; Streptophyta; Magnoliopsida; Poales; Poaceae
Description: partial small subunit ribosomal RNA
Source: RNAcentral
AUGGCACUUGACAAGUUAUAUGGUAAGUACAAUGACAGUUUUCAGUUACUUUUUGCUUUCAAAGCAGAAGUAGAGAGGGCAUCACCAGGCAGUGUUGUUGACAUUGACGAGUACAAGUUAAAAGGAAAGAAAUUCUACAAAGAGUGUUUUAGAAGGGUUUUUGUCUGUUUCAAAGCUUGUCAGAAGGGGUUUCUGGAGGGGUGUAGGCCAUACUUGGCUGUAGAUGCAACUGCAUUGUAUGGUAGGUUUAGGGGCCAACUUGCAGCAGCAUGUGCCCUAGAUGCACACAAUUGGUUAUUUCCUGUUGCAUAUGGUGUUCUUGAAGUGGAGUCCACUGAGAGUUGGACAUGGUUUUUCAAUAAUUUGAAGAAAGUUAUAGGACACCCUGAAGGAUUAGUUAUCCAUACUGAUGCUUGCAAAGGACUGGAGAGUGCUCUUGAUGAUGUUUAUCCUGGAGUUGAGCAUAGAGAGUGCAUGAGACAUUUGUCUCAAAAUUUUGGCAAGAUAUUCAAAGGGAAAUUUUAUGAUGACAAUCUGUACCCGUAG